GCAUAAUCUCUAAGGAGAAAAGCAGGGGAUCGAAAGACCUUGCGCUUUUGGAGCGGCCGAUGUCUGAUUAGCUAGUUGGUGAGGUAAAGGCUUACCAAGGCUUCGAUCAGUAGCUGGUCUGAGAGGACGACCAGCCACACUGGGACUGAGACACGGCCCAGACUCCUACGGGAGGCAGCAGUGGGGAAUUUUGGACAAUGGGGGCAACCCUGAUCCAGCCAUGCCGCGUGAGUGAAGAAGGCCUUCGGGUUGUAAAGCUCUUUCAGCCGGAACGAAAAGGUUACGGUUAAUACCCGUGACUAAUGACGGUACCGGAAGAAGAAG
RNAcentral lists this ribosomal RNA (324 nucleotides) under uncultured beta proteobacterium. RNAcentral's name for it is "bacterial SSU rRNA". It matches the Rfam family "Bacterial small subunit ribosomal RNA", at positions 171 to 490 of the family's 1533-position model. The record is from RNAcentral. Lineage: Bacteria; Pseudomonadati; Pseudomonadota; Betaproteobacteria.